UGGAAAAGUAGCAUAAAAAGGAAAAUGAAUUGGAAAAAUCGAAAAAUGAAUGGGAAAUGGUACAUAAAAACUGGAAAAACCUAUAAUUGAGUGCAACCAGACUCUGUUCUAAUCUCAAGACCCGAACUCUCGCAUUUUUGGCCAGUUUUAAUCCCAUCUGGCUGUGAACUCCGAGGCAAAAGUCUGGAUGCCGAGGUCAAGACAAUCGCCUGGCAAGUGCACCUGAUUGGCCCUAAUAAGCUGCCCAUUAGGAUGGUCCCGGUGACACAAAAGCCCAUCACAACGAGCCUUGAGCCACUGCAUCACUUUGCUGGCAGGCAUCAGAUGGCGAUGGUUUUUUUUUUUUUUUUGGUUUUUCCGAGCCAUUCAAUCGCUCCGCCAGACAAGCAAAUUUCGUUAAAAUCCCAUCAUAAAAACACACGAAGCGCUGCACAAAUCCAAAUACUGGAGCUACCUACCUACCUGUGCAAAAAGGCAAUUUGGAAGGGUGGAAACGUGAAAACGUGGAAAAGCGAAGCCUGCAAUGGCCAUAUAUCAAAAGGCGAAAGAGUAAAGCACAUAAAACCAGCCAAACUAAACGAACGUGAGAUGUGCAGAGAUCGGACCAACAGGACAGCGGGAUUUGCUGGCGGCAAGUUGGUUAGCGGCAAAUAUUUGUGGUACUUCCAGUUGGCCACUGAGUGGUUUAUGACUUCUUGGGCCAGUCCCAAAUCAGUGGCUCACGCUGAACUGGAGGACCCCGGCACUAAAAUCCCGCCCCUGCACCGCGCAAAAUAUCAGGCAAUACUUAAAUGGUUUCCACUUGAAGGGUCAUGGAAAUUUCACUACACCUGCAGAAAGCAUCACUUGAGUUUCCAAACUUGUUUAAUAAUUAAAUACUUUUACUCCGUUUUAUGCGCAUUUAAAGUCUGUUGUCCUGAAGAUUAAGACCAGUUUCCUACACAUUAUGGCUAUUAUAUUAUAGUCACUUUUGACUG
This is a non-coding RNA of Drosophila melanogaster (fruit fly), 977 nucleotides long. The record is from Ensembl. Lineage: Eukaryota; Metazoa; Arthropoda; Insecta; Diptera; Drosophilidae.